CCUACGGGUGGCAGCAGUGAGGAAUAUUGGUCAAUGGACGAGAGUCUGAACCAGCCAAGUAGCGUGAAGGAUGACUGCCCUAUGGGUUGUAAACUUCUUUUAUAUGGCAAUAAAAUGUUCCACGUGUGGGAUUUUGUAUGUACCAUAUGAAUAAGGAUCGGCUAACUCCGUGCCAGCAGCCGCGGUAAUACGGAGGAUCCGAGCGUUAUCCGGCUUUAUUGGGUUUAAAGGGAGCGUAGGUGGAUUGUUAAGUCAGUUGUGAAAGUUUGCGGCUCAACCGUAAAAUUGCAGUUGAAACUGGCAGUCUUGAGUACAGUAGAGGUGGGCGGAAUUCGUGGUGUAGCGGUGAAAUGCUUAGAUAUCACGAAGAACUCCGAUUGCGAAGGCAGUUCACUGGACUGCAACUGACACUGAGGCUCGAAAGUGUGGGUAUCAAACAGGAUUAGAUACCCGGGUAGUC
RNAcentral lists this ribosomal RNA (460 nucleotides) under uncultured bacterium. Its description in RNAcentral is "partial 16S ribosomal RNA". It matches the Rfam family "Bacterial small subunit ribosomal RNA", at positions 338 to 795 of the family's 1533-position model. The record is from RNAcentral.